AUUGAACGCUGGCUGCAGGCUUAACACAUGCAAGUCGAACGGAGUGGCGGACGGGUGAGUAAUGCUUGGGAAUCUGGCUUAUGGAGGGGGAUACCUACGGGAAACUGUAGCUAAUCCCGCGUACCAUAGGAUGAGCACAAGUGGGAUUAGGUAGUUGGUGAGGUAAAGGCUCACCAAGCCGACGAUCUCUAGCUGGUCUGAGAGGAUGACCAGCAACACUGGGACUGAGACACGGCCCAGACUCCUACGGGAGGCAGCAGUGGGGAAUAUUGGAUAAUGGGCGAAAGCCUGAUCCAGCCAUGCCGCGUGUGUGAAGAAGGUCUUCGGAUUGUAAAGCACUUUAAGUUGGGAGGCGUUACCAACAGAAUAAGCACCGGCUAACUUCGUGCCAGCCACCGCGGUAAUAC
This 407-nucleotide ribosomal RNA is filed under the name uncultured bacterium. RNAcentral's name for it is "partial 16S ribosomal RNA". It matches the Rfam family "Bacterial small subunit ribosomal RNA", at positions 30 to 526 of the family's 1533-position model. The record is from RNAcentral.